This 468-nucleotide ribosomal RNA is filed under the name uncultured bacterium. Its description in RNAcentral is "partial 16S ribosomal RNA". It matches the Rfam family "Bacterial small subunit ribosomal RNA", at positions 28 to 507 of the family's 1533-position model. The record is from RNAcentral.
GACGAACGCUGGCGGCGUGCUUAACACAUGCAAGUCGAACGGAAAGGCCCUGCUUUUGUGGUGUGCUCGAGUGGCGAACGGGUGAGUAACACGUGAGUAACCUGCCCUUGACUUUGGGAUAACUUCAGGAAACUGGGGCUAAUACCGGAUAGGAGCUCCUGCUGCAUGGUGGGGGUUGGAAAGUUUCGGCGGUUGGGGAUGGACUCGCGGCUUAUCAGCUUGUUGGUGGGGUAGUGGCUUACCAAGUCUUUGACGGGUAGCCGGCCUGAGAGGGUGACCGGCGACAUUGGGACUGAGAUACGGACCAGACUCCAACGGGAGGCAGCAGUGGGGAAUAUGGCACAAUGGGCGGAAGCCUGAUGCAGAGACGCCGGGUGCGGGAUGACGGCCUUCGGGGUGUGAACCGCUUUAGCCUGUGACGAAGCGGGAGUGACGGUAAUGGGUAAAGAAGCACCGGCUAACUACGUG